AUAAUGGGUCAGCGACUUAUAUUCUGUAGCAAGGUUAACCGAAUAGGGGAGCCGAAGGGAAACCGAGUCUUAACUGGGCGUUAAGUUGCAGGGUAUAGACCCGAAACCCGGUGAUCUAGCCAUGGGCAGGUUGAAGGUUGGGUAACACUAACUGGAGGACCGAACCGACUAAUGUUGAAAAAUUAGCGGAUGACUUGUGGCUGGGGGUGAAAGGCCAAUCAAACCGGGAGAUAGCUGGUUCUCCCCGAAAGCUAUUUAGGUAGCGCCUCGUGAAUUCAUCUCCGGGGGUAGAGCACUGUUUCGGCAAGGGGGUCAUCCCGACUUACCAACCCGAUGCAAACUGCGAAUACCGGAGAAUGUUAUCACGGGAGACACACGGCGGGUGCUAACGUCCGUCGUGAAGAGGGAAACAACCCAGACCGCCAGCUAAGGUCCCAAAGUCAUGGUUAAGUGGGAAACGAUGUGGGAAGGCCCAGACAGCCAGGAUGUUGGCUUAGAAGCAGCCAUCAUUUAAAGAAAGCGUAAUAGCUCACUGGUCGAGUCGGCCUGCGCGGAAGAUGUAACGGGGCUAAACCAUGCACCGAAGCUGCGGCAGCGACACUGUGUGUUGUUGGGUAGGGGAGCGUUCUGUAAGCCUGCGAAGGUGUGCUGUGAGGCAUGCUGGAGGUAUCAGAAGUGCGAAUGCUGACAUAAGUAACGAUAAAGCGGGUGAAAAGCCCGCUCGCCGGAAGACCAAGGGUUCCUGUCCAACGUUAAUCGGGGCAGGGUGAGUCGACCCCUAAGGCGAGGCCGAAAGGCGUAGUCGAUGGGAAACAGGUUAA
RNAcentral lists this ribosomal RNA (821 nucleotides) under Escherichia coli. RNAcentral's name for it is "partial 23S ribosomal RNA". It matches the Rfam family "Bacterial large subunit ribosomal RNA", at positions 612 to 1433 of the family's 2925-position model. Lineage: Bacteria; Pseudomonadati; Pseudomonadota; Gammaproteobacteria; Enterobacterales; Enterobacteriaceae. The record is from RNAcentral.